UGGGGAAUAUUGGACAAUGGGGGCAACCCUGAUCCAGCCAUGCCGCGUGCGUGAAGAAGGCCUUAGGGUUGUAAAGCGCUUUUGUCAGGGAAGAUAAUGACUGUACCUGAAGAAUAAGCCCCGGCUAACUCCGUGCCAGCAGCCGCGGUAAGACGGAGGGGGCUAGCGUUGUUCGGAAUUACUGGGCGUAAAGGGCGCGUAGGCGGUUAUGUGUGUCAGAUGUGAAAUCCCAAGGCUCAACCUUGGAACUGCAUUUGAAACUGCAUGACUAGAGUGAGUAAGAGGCGGACGGAAUUCCGAGUGUAGCAGUGAAAUGCGCAGAUAUUCGGAGGAACAUCGGUGGCGAAGGCGGUUCGCUGGUACUCUACUGACGCUGAGGCGCGAAAGCGUGGGGAGCAAA
RNAcentral lists this ribosomal RNA (400 nucleotides) under uncultured bacterium. RNAcentral's name for it is "bacterial SSU rRNA". It matches the Rfam family "Bacterial small subunit ribosomal RNA", at positions 355 to 772 of the family's 1533-position model. The record is from RNAcentral.